AGCACUCUUUCAUUUUAUGAAAGUGCUGGCAUAUGUAAGUCCGACGUGCCGCUCCCGGCACGGCCCCCCGAGAAAUUGGGCUUUGGGAUUAC
This is a non-coding RNA of Methanolinea sp. SDB, 92 nucleotides long. The record is from Rfam. Lineage: Archaea; Methanobacteriati; Methanobacteriota; Methanomicrobia; Methanomicrobiales; Methanoregulaceae.